Molecule: long non-coding RNA, 17967 nt
Filed under: Triticum aestivum (bread wheat)
Lineage: Eukaryota; Viridiplantae; Streptophyta; Magnoliopsida; Poales; Poaceae
Description: long non-coding RNA (TAES_LNC023236)
Source: RNAcentral
UCAUUCCGCUCAACCCCUUGCAAUCUCCAGCAAACUGAACCGAACAAGCCCUAAAGUUUAAGGGAUAAAAUAAGCUGUCAGCCUGUCCCUUUCUACUUUGCAGCAGCCAGAUCAACAUGGAUGUAACUUGUGCAUUCCUUCCUAUAUGUAUUACUCUUCCAAGUUUAUAAACUAGUAAAGUUGCCUGGCGGGCGACAUGUUUAAACAAUGAAUUAUUAUUCCUCUAUUAUCUCUAGAACUUUGUUGAAGUAUUUGUUGAGAAGCAUUCAAAGAUAUGUUAAAUCUGCUUGUCAGAGAAAAGAAGAUAUGAAAAUAUUUUUUUUGGCUCUUGUUCCUUUUACUAAUUUUACUUGCGUACUAACUCCUCAGAUCAUCAGGGCACUCUCUAGCGUCUCUUUGUUUUCUCUAUGAGAGAUGCAGUUCCAUGCAGCCUGCUAACAGUAGGGAAUCACAACGAAGCGAAUUGGUUGUCAGCAGAUAGGGCACGCCACUGGCGCCACCCCUGGUCCCCGCACCCCCCCGUAACUUGCUCGUCCCGGUGUGUGCUGCCUUUCUAUCUCCCUAGGCACCACCCCUGCUCCCUGCUCUAAGAAGCCGGCGGAGAAGGAGGACAAGAAUCCGGCGUGGGUUAGAUGAGGAGGAUAAGAAUCCGGCGAGAAAGGAGGUGAAAGUACAUGCCUGAUCCUCUCUCCCACCUAUGGUUAGAGAUUGCGCAUUAUUAGAAUGAAUUGAGGAUGAAGUAUUUUCGUUUGAUACUGCCUUCUGAUUCAAUGUGUUGUGUUCAGUUCUUUCCAAGUAGUGUUGAUUCUUCAAUGAAGUCACUGGGGUAUUUUGAUAACUAAAUAAAAACUAGCCACUCUCUUAGAAACAUCAGGAUCAAAUGAAAUGUCCUAGCCUGUUCUGUACUGGACCAGCGACUAAUUUGUAAAGCUUCUACAUAUGCUUGUGUACUAUUACCUCCGUUUGGAAACACAUGACGUGGUUUUAGUUCAAAUUUGAACUAAAACCAUGUCAUGUUUCAUGCGCGAUGACCCUAUUUUCUGCAGAUUCAAACAAGUGGCAGAUUCAAACAUGCGCGAUGGAGAACCAAGCAGAAGCAGAUUCAAACAAGUGAGAAUAACAUUUUCAAUUUUGUGCUGGAUUCCUCUCUUUUCUUGCAAAUGAGUGACCCUAUUUUCUGCACUUGUGCAUUCUACAGAGAAUGUAUUGCCCACUUGGAUACCGCAGCUUGGCAUGAAGUUCAACACCCUAGAUGAGGCUUGGAAAUUUUGGGGAUAUUACGGAGGAAGGAUGGGGUUCAGCAUCAGAAAAAGGUAUAAAAACAGAAGCAAAUUUGAUGGGAAAGUUACCUCCUGCAAAUAUGUUUGUUUCAAAGUGGGUAAAAAGGCAGUAGACAAAAGAUAUAAUGUUGUUAAGAAUCCAACAGCUGAGACUAGAAUUGACUGUAGAGUUCGUAUGACCCUUUCAAUAAAUCGUGAAGCUGGUAACUGGGCAAUAUCUGAUCUUUUUCUUGAACACAAUCACACACUUCAAUUGCCAGAAGCAUGCCACCUAUUGCUAUGAAAGAGAAUUAUCUCUGAAGUGCAGGCUUUUGAAAUUGAAUGUGCUGAUGACUCUGGUAUUGCACUAAAAGCUGCUCAUGAGUUAGCUAGUUGACGGGUUGACGGAUCAUCUAACCUGAGGUACACUCCUCGGGAUCACAAGAAUCAUUUGAGAAUAAAGCGCCAAAGGGACCUUAAGUAUGGUGAAGCGGGUAGCAUGUUGAAGUAUUUUCAAGACAGAGCUGCAUAGAAUCCAGCAUUCAAAUAUGUUUUACAGCUGGACUGUGAUGAAAAAUAACAAACAUUUUUUGGGCUGAUGCUAAGGUGAUAAUUGAUUAAGCUCAUUUUGGCGAUGUCAUGACCUUUGACACCACUUUUGGAGCAAAUAAGGAACAUAGGCCAUUUGGUGUGUUCGUUGGAUUCAAUCAUUUUAGAGAAACUGUUAUCUUCGGUGCUUCUCUCCUCUAUGAUGAGACAUUUGAAUCUUUCAAAUGCUUGUUUGAUUCUUUCUUAUUAGUACAUAGUGAGAAGCAUCCUAGAACCAUAUAUACUGAAUGAAGAUUGUGCAAUGGGAAAGACAGUUGGGUAUGUUUUCUUGAAUCACGACAUGGAUUAUGUACACAUUUAUCUAGUUAUAUGGACAAAGAAUCAACUCUUGUUGCAGAUUUCAGUGCUUGCAUGUAUCAACAUGGGCACCAAGAAGAAUUUGAGGAAGCAUUUGAAAAUCUGAGGGCUCAAGUGCCAGCACAAACUUGGUUCGGUAGUAUUUACAAAGUAAAAGAGAAGUGGGAAAAAUGUUUCAUGAUAAAUGCAUUUACCUUGGGUAUGUAGAGCACGCAGCUAAGUGAGAGUCUCAACAAUGACUUGAAGCAUCAUCUGAAGUCAGAUUUAGACGUUGUCCGGUUCUUUGAGCACUUCGAAAGAGCUGUCAAAGUAAAAAAGAGAUGUUGAGGUCAAUUCAGAGUUUGAUUCCAGGAAGUACUUGCCAAGAAUCAAAAUGAAGACCCCAAUGUUGAUGCAUGUUGGCCCACUUUAUACUCCUACUAUAUUUGAUUUUUUUCAAAAGGAAUACCGGAGAUCUAUAUCAGCAUGCGCCGAAGCACUAGAUGGACAAUACAAAUACAUGGUUAAAAUUGGAUAUCCUUUUGAGCAUCCAAUAUUUGAAGAAUAAUGGGAAGUUACUGGUAACCCUUUGGAACAAACACCAUCAUGCACUUGUGAUCAGUUUGAUAGACUAGGGAUAUUGUGUGCACAUGCUUUAAAAGUUCUUGACAUGAUGAGCAUUAAGUUGCUUCCAUCACACUAUAUUUUGAAGCGAUGGACCCAAGAAGCAUGAGCAGGAUCUGUUAAGGAUAGUCAUGGAAGGAUUGUGAUUGCAGAUCCAAAUAUAGAGGCAGUUCUCCGCCACAAUGGCCUAUCACACAAAUUUAAUAACUUGGCAACUGAAACAUCACAUUCUGAAGAAUGUGUACUUUGAUCGACAAUACACUCGAUAACCUUAGUAAGUGAAACGAUGGUUGUUGAAUGCGGAAGUGCCUCCGCCAGCAUCAGACGAUUUGUUGAAUGCCAAAGUGACUCCUCCAGCAAUAACUGAUUUGUUGGCUGCUGCUGCGCCUAAAAAAGAAGGAAGUUAACAAGGCAGCCAAAAAUUCCAAAAGAAGGAAAAAUUGGACUGAAAGGCAGUACAAAAGAAAGAAAACAGAGUUCAAGACAAAAGAAAAUCAUUCAACGGUGAAAACUCUGAAUGAGGAAGACUUGCGUGGAUAUGAGCACAUUACAAACUCCACUGAAUUACUGAAUAUGCCUAGUGCCAGAGCCUCCACUGGAGGCAUAUAUACUAAGGAUAUAUUCUAAUCAUGAUGCUUUGGAGAACAUCAGAAUCAUUAUUUUGUUGAACUUCUGUAGACUUCCAAUUGUUGAACUUUUUUAGACCUUCAAGUUGUACGGGAAAUAUGAAACCUUUUAUUUUGUUCAACUUAUUUAGUUUCUAGAAGAUCCUUUUUUACUUCCUAGAUAGAUCAGCUUCUCCACGGGCCAAUCAAAAUCAGCGACGAUCUCAAACCAAAUUUGGUGUAUAAAUCUUCUUGAUUGGGGAAAUCACAAGCAGUGAUACAGACAAAAGAUAUAUAGGAUUGUUUUGUUCCUGUGAUACUGAAUAAGUGCCAAUAAGAAGGUUUCAGGAUAGAUUCACCUACGCCAUAUAUAGCUUGAGAAGGCAGUAAAAAUUCAGAAGGACAUCACUGUCCAAUGACGUUGCUGCGCUACCUUCUUCCCCGUGAGUUCGCCGCCUCCUCAGCCGUCCGAGUUCCUCCGUCUCCUGUUGGUUCUCCUCUGCACACGAGACCAUCCAACCAUGCCCUGUCCUCCGUGCGGCCCUAUCUCUCGCUGCACCCAUCAACUCGACCCAGCUCGCCCUUGUCCUUGAUGGUGACCAACGGUGGCCUGAAUAAAGGGAGGGGCAGCGGCGGCAUAGAUCAGCGAGAGGCAGCGGCCGCCUGAAUCGAGGGCGAGGCAACAGCGGCAAGAGUAGUACUGGAAAAAAGAGAGCCAUCGGAUCUGAUUUGUGCGGUAGAUAUGGGCUAUGUUAGCGUCCUAACUUGGCAAGGCAAGUUACAGGAGCCUGCUCAGUACUCUGAAUUUUUGAAGGAACCUGAAGGUUAUGAGCAUUACUCUUAGUUCUUGUAGGGAUAGUGUAUGCACAUCUACUGCUUUGAUACAAAGAUAUUAUCGCUCAGGAUUUAGCAAAAGAAGAUUUGUCUGAAUGUUUGCGUAAGGUUGAGUUUCUGUGUAUGAAAUAUUUAUUCACAGUGAAAUCUGAAUGUGUAUAACAGCGUUUGCCGAAUACUCCUUCGCACCGGGGUUCAUUGAUGUGCAUAUCCCGCCCGUCCUGCCGCAUCAUGAUCGAACCAAACGCAUUUUUGACCGAACACACCCACCUAGUAGCAGGAACUGUACCGAGCUGAUCUGUUCCCCUGUUUCUGACUUAGGAUGUGUUCGCUUCACAGGAUUUUGAAACUUUUCCUGAGGAAUGGAAUGUCCAUUCCAUAGUUUUAAUUCCCUUGGUAGCGUUUGGAUCAAAGAAAACAUCUACCCCUAUGAAAAGGUUCGCUCAUAGUGGUCAUUCCAAAGGAUUGUGUAAAUCUGGUCUAGUCUCUUUUUUGGGCGGAGGCCUGAGGCAGCCACCGUGCAAAGCUGAAUAAAAAAUUACUUUCACAUGGCGGUGAGAGAAGCUAAACCGGCAUGCAAUGAAUACAAUAUUAUAUAUUAUUGCAUUACUAGUACGAACACAAGGUUUCCAAUCAAACGAACACCUCUCCUUUUCCCUUUCGUCUGUUUUGGGUCACGCAAAAUUGCACUGUACAACCAACUCCAUUCAUGUACUUUUUUAUAUUCUUUUGUUUUUCUGACCUGUAUACCGAACGGGGCCUCACGAUUCAUUUAUGAGACACGCUCUGAAGUCUUCUCUGCAGCAAUUAUUAGUUAUCGACCAGCCCAUGCCAACAACACACUAUCCACUAGCACCCGGAGCUUUAGAGCAACUCUAGCAGAUAUGCUAUAUUCUCACCGCCCCUUAUAAUUCCGGCGGUUUUAUCUUUUUGGCCUUUUUCGGCCCCAAACAAGUCCAGUAAAAAUCAUCCGACCGUUAAAAAAUAUACAAGCGGUCUGCAAAUUGCCCUCUCCGCAGCUACAUCUAUGGGUCUGGGCAUUUUAGGGUUCGCUUCUUGCAUACGCUCCGCCCCUCCGCCGUCUCCUUUGUUUUCUCUGGCAAGCGAAUCCGCCCAUUUCUUUCCUUUCCCUACAGAUCCAUGGCUGGAGGUGCUUGCGGGCAUGGGGGCCGCCCGCCGCCGCGCAAGCUCCCCCGACAUGACAUGGAGACCGGCAGCUCCUGCUUCCACGAGCUUGACGAAGCGCUUUUCCCGCACACCAAGAGGUGCUCAGACACGGAUGAGGAGCUGCUCGUCACGCAGCGCGCGGAGGCGGCCGGAGAAGAUGGCACAACAGAAAGGCUCGCCGUCACCAAGGAAGGCCAUGUGCACACCCAUUCUUGCCGGAGGUCGGCGGAGGCGUUCUACGUCGGCGUCGAGGACUGAUGACCCGGCCUUCCUUAGGUUAAAUUUAGUUUGAUCUAUGCUAUUUAUGCUAUGUACUAUGAUUUAUGAUGAACUCCAGUUGUGUUGCUCAAACUUUUUAGCGCGAACUAGAUUUUAAAUAUGCAGUACGUUUUAGCUUAUCUGUUCUGCCGGCUACCCUGAGAUCGUGCAAAAUCGUUUUAGGGAGAGCCGUAUACUAUCUUUGCGGCACACAUUUUUGGACAUCUACUAGAGUUGCUCUUACGCGCGUGGGCACGAAACUAGCUAGUCACACAAAUAAGCCCACUGAACGGGGCGUUUUGAUCAUCACUAGUAAUCAAAACGUUUAUUUACAGAGGGAGUAUAAUUUGUUCCGGCCACAGUACUCCUAUCCUACACCAAACCCCAUUAUCAGUGACGGAGCUAGGGGGACCAGCAGGGCCCUGGCCCCCCCAUGACAUUAUACAAUACGAAUGAUUUUGUACUUAAGGCUAGUUUAGACAAAAUUAGCUUUCUUGGCCCCCCUCUAAGUGAGAAUCACCAUGUUCGGCCCCGGUUAAGCUCCAAUCCUGCCUCCGCCCCUGCCCAUUAUUGAUGAUAAUCUACAUACUGGCGUUACCACGGCUAGGAGAAAACACUCGAACAAGCGGAAGCAGCUCCCCUGACGUACUGCACAUGCCGUUGGGGGCACUGACGUGUGGGCCUGAUUCCCAGCGGGCCCACCUGUCAGUGGCCGAACGGUACCCUGCCGCACGGCAGAGGAUCCUCGUCCCGAACAAGCUGUCACAAUCUCGCGAAAACGGUAGCUGGUGUGAAUACAUUGAAUGCUCAACGCUUCAUUGAAGUUUUGCCCCGCAGUCCCAGCAUGCACGCUGCAUUUUCGGCCGCACUGUUUGUCGACCCAAAACCUUCGAAACACACAAGCCAAUGGAUGGCUAGGAGGAGAGUGGCAUACUCAGCCUAUCAGAGCAUCUACAACCGGACCUCUCAAAGCCGUCUCAUACGCCCGGGCGGGCUGCCCGGUCACUGACCGGUCACGUUUUUUCGACGUAGACGAACGCCUCAAAGGGGCCUCAAACGCCCAGGUUGACCGGCACCCCCCAUAUCUAGCCCAAAUAUGGGGCAGAUAUGGGGGCGCCCGGGCAUGCCCGCCACGUCGGGCCCGACCCAUGCUGGCCCGUCUGACCCCACUUCAUCCCCAUUCUCUCGCCGGAGCAAAUCUUAGCCACUUCACUCCACUCCCCUCCGCCACCCGAGCUCUCCUCCGGCGCUUCGGCCAUGGCAGGCAGCGGAUCAGACUCCGACCAGUCCGGAUCCGUCGGUUGGGGUGUCAUCUCGUGUGGGUUGGAGGAGGCAAUGGCUGUCCGCAUUGCACUCCGCUGCUUCCGGGAGGACAACGCCCGGCAGAUGGACGGAUCCGUCCACCACGACACCAUAGCGUCGGCUCACCGGGCACUCGCGUCCUCUGGUGCUGGAUGCUCGCGGUCCCGGCCGGAACACCUGUCCUUUCCCAUCACCGGUCGGGCAGAGUAUGAGUUCCAUCGAGAACGGGUGGCCCGCCGUGGGAAGGAGAGGAUAAGGGUCGCCGAGGCCCGUAUGGCGGCGGAAAUGACAGCGACGGAGGCGGAUGAUGCGGCGGGGCGGGCGGCCGCAGAGGAGGAAGCCAUCCGGGCCCGCAUUUUGAAGAAACGACAGUGGAGGAACACGCGCGCCCUCGCCCGAGAGCAGAAUCGGGUGGUCCGUGCCAUGGCCGGGCUGCCACCGAAGGAGGAGAAGGAGGACAACUCCAGCGAGGAUAGCUCCGGCGGCGAGUAGAUCCGGCUCGAUCUGUACUGCGUCUUCGACCGGUACAUCCGCUAGAAGGACGGCAAGGGCGCCGGGAAGGGCAAAGGCAGCCGUGGAUGAACUCCACCACAGCCAAACAUGCCAAAUUUUGGUAGUCCGAUGUCAUGUUAAGUGUAGUGCGAUGGAGUAGCCGGACGAUGCGUGUGCGUCGACGUAGUUGCAUGACUUUGUAUGGAUCUGAGAUAUGGUAAUUGAGGUGUCCGGAUGUGGAUUGCAUUUUUUGAGGAGUGCCCGGUCAGUUCCCGCAGACGCGUCCAGGUGCGUCCGCAGGCGUUUGAGGGGCCGGAUUUGCCAAGUCCGGCUGUAGAUGCUCUCAGGGUUUAAAUCAUGGUGCUUGCAUUAUUUUUGAUUUUAUUUCAGGAUUUUUGGUGAUGCACGUUCAGUGAAAGGAGACGUUCCCGUCGACUACAAGGUGUCUGUGGUGACUUUGUUAAUCUUAAGAUGAUAUGCCGGCACAUUAUCUUGGAUGUAUUUAUAGGGAUAGGGUCUGCAUGUGUGUUAUAGGGAAGAGUGCAUGCGCAUAUAUAUGAGCGUCUGUGUAUAUAUUGUGUUCUAAAAAAAAUCCCCAUCCAAACUAUGCCCCGCCGCAGGCCCCAUCAGAUACUCCACCUUGUACAGGUGCUAAGCUUGUAACAUAAGCAAAAAUCGGACGUGGCAACUCAAUUAAGGAGGAGAGAGAGCGAACCGGUAAGGCCUGUUGGGGAACGUUGCAUAGGAAACAAAAUUUUUCCUACGCUCAAGAUCAAUCUAGGAGAUGCACAUCUACGAGUGGAGAGAUUGGAUCUACACACCAUUGUAGAUCGCUAAGCGGAAGCGUGAACAAACGCGAUUGAUGUAGUCGAACAUCUUCGCGAUCCAAUCACAAUCCGUCCAUGAACUCCCAAUCAAGCGCCGAACGGACGACACCUCCGUAUUCAACACAUGUACGACUUGAUGACACCUUCACCUCCUUGAUCUAGUGAGCGAUGGUGAAGUAGUAGCUCGAGUUCUCCGGCAGCACGACCGCGUUGUGGCAGUGGUGGUGGAGCGAUCUCAGCAGGGCUUCGCCAAGCCUAGCAGAGAAGGAAACUAUGAGGGAGAGGAAGGACAACACCAUGGCAAUGAUGGGUUCGGCUGCCCUCCCUCUACACCUCUAUAUAUAGGGGGAAGGGAGGAGGGGGGCUCCCUAGGGUUUCCCCUAGGGGGUGCGGCGACCACCAGAUGGGGGCGCCCCUAGGGAAACCCUAGGGUGGCUUGGCCCCCAAGCCAAAUGGGGCGCCCAGCCCCUUGUGGGCUGGUGUUCCCCUUGCCUUGGCCCAUGAGGCCCCCCAACACUUGCCGGCCCCCCCGAAACUCUUUUCGGUUCUCCGACGAAAUCCGGUACCUCCCGGAACACUUCCGGAAUCUGAAUCCCUUCAUCUUAUAUAUAAAUCUUCACCCCCAGACCAUUCCGGAGUUCCUCGUCAUGUCCGGGAUCUCAUCCGGGACUCCGAACAACCUUCGGUCAUGAACAUAAUAACUCAAUUAUACUUAGAUCGUCACCAAACACUAAGUGUGUAGACCCUGCGGGUUCAAGAACUAUGCAGACAUGACCGAGACACCUCUAUGGUCAAUAACCAAUAACGGGACCUGGACGUCCAUAUUGGUUCCUACAUAUUCUACGAAGAUCUUUAUCGGCCGAACCUCGAUGCCAAGGAUUCAACUAAUCCCGUAUGCAGUUCCCUUCGUCCAUCGGUAUGUUACUUGCCCGAGAUUCGAUCGUCGGUAUCUCCAUACCUAGUUCAAUCUCGUUACCGGCAAGUCUCUAUACUUGUUCCGCAAUACAAGAUCCCGUGACUAACUCCUUAGUCACAUUGGUUGCAAGCUCAUUGUGAUGUUGUAUUACCGAGUGGGCCCCAAGGUACCUCUCCGUCCUAGGGAGUGACAAAUCCCAGUCUUGAUCUAUGCCAACUCAACAGACACCCUCAGAGAUACCUGUAGAGAAUCUUUAUAGUCAUCCAGUUGUGUUGCGACGUUUGAUACGCACAAGGUACUCCUACGGUGUCAGUGAGUUGCAUAAUCUCAUGGUCAUACGAACAGAUACUUGACAUCCAGAAAACGAUAGCAAUGAACUUGAUACAAUCAUAUGCUAUGCUUAUAGUUUGGGUCUUGUCCAUCACAACAUUCUCCUAAUGAGGUGAUCCCGUUAUCAAAUGACAACUCAUGUCUAUGGCCAGGAAACCAUAGCCAUCUUUGAUCAACGAGCAAGUCUGGUAGAGGCUCACUUGGGACAUGUUUUGUCUAUGCAUCCACACAUGUAUUUGAGUUUCCAAUCAAUACAAUUAUAGCAUGGAUAAUAAACGAUUGUCAUGAACAAGGAAAUCGUUCAAACGAUGAAAUUGGGCAAGUUGUUCAAAGGUUGCAGGUUGUUGGUUCUCAGGCUCCACAUUUUCACCUUGAAAAUCAAACCCUUGGUCGUAGAUGCUAUCACCAUGCUCAUCCUCCAUGAUCAUGUUGUGCAUGAUCACACAAGCACUCAUCACCUCCCAAAGCUUAUGAGUGCUCCAUGUCAAUGCAACAUUUUGGACGAUACCCCAUCGAAAUUGAAGCACACCAAAAGCACGCUCCACAUCCUUCCUAGCACUCUCUUCAUUUGGGAAAAUCUCCGUCUCUUCUUUCCUUGCGGAUUGGGUAUUGUCUUCACAAGAGUUGACCAUUGAGGAUAGACACCAUCAGCUAGGUAAUAUCCCUUGUUGUAAUGGUGGCCAUUGAUCUCAAAGUUGACCUCUGGGGAGUGUCCUUCUGCAAGCCUUGCGAACACUGGAGAACCCUGAAUCACGUUGAUAUGAUUGUGAGAACCAGCCAUGCCGAAGAAAGAAUGCCAUAUCCACAGAUCUUGUGAAGCCACCACUUCUAGUAUGACCGUGGCACCUUUCACGUGCCCCUUGUACUGCCCCUGCCAAGAAAAUGGAUAGUUCUUCCACUUCCAGCGCAUACAUUCUAUACUACCAAGCAUGCCUGGAAAGCCCCUCUCGGCAUUGAUCGUCAACAACCUUUCUGUAUCAGCGGUAGUUGGCUCUCUCAGGUACUCAGGGCCGAACACUGCCACCACGGCCUUGCAGAAGCUAUACAUUGGCAGGAGACAUGUGGAUUCACUCAUCCACAAGAUCCCCAGGAAUUCCAUAUGCAAGCAUGCGAACAGCCGCCGUGCAUUUCUGAUAAGAGGAGAAACCAGGCUUUCCAAAGGCAUCCUCUUUGCACUCAAAGCAUGGUCAUAUCCUACCACUCCCUCCCAAAUACGGCCGAACACAUGUCUCCUCAUUCGGAAGCGGCGACAAAAUUGAUAUGGUUUGAAGAGUGUGAUAUUCUCAAAGUAAUCGACAUAGAGUAGGGCGUGGCCGCUCUCCCUAUUGCAUUCAAGGCCGGAGCAUGACCCGGGAUUGAUCCCCUGAACCAAGGUCGUUGCCUACCAAUGUGGUCAUUGACGACCAAUGCAGCAACCACAAGGUCUUCGUCAUCCGAGUAUGAAUCAUCCAAUGAACAAAUGAAGUUGUGAAAGAAAUACUCAUCCCCAUUAUCCAUGGUACCUUGUGAGCAAAGCAUUGAACACCUUGUGGUCGUGGAGGAGACACGAUAGGAAAGAGCACCUCGAGCUCCCCUCCAAGGCAGCAAAGCAAGGUUGGCGUUGGCAGGGCGCGAGUGCCCUGUGGCUAUGCAGCGCCUGCCGAAAGUUGUUGGGGUCGAUGGGCGGUGCCGGUAGCCGUAGCUUCUCUUGCAUUGGCAAAAAGAACCACAAAUGCUUGCAAAAGCUCCUCCGAAACGCUGGCAUGGGCCGGCUAUGGCAUGGCGUGGUCAUGGUUCGGACGACCUUGCAGGAAAGCGACGCGACAGGGAAAAUAGCGUACAGACGGGAUGAUGGCGGCGAUGGCGGGGGACGGAGGGCGGAGGGUGGGUAGGGGAAGAGAAAAGUGGGUUGUGUCCCCGACGGGCGGGUCAGGGGGACAAGAACCCGUGCCCCGCCCGUCCGCGCGUGUCCGUUUUGACGCAAAUGCGACCCAAAGUUAAGCCGAGAAUGGAUCGAAAGUGGACGAAAAACGGACGUUUGUCUGUUUACUCUCAAACGGAUGCGACCAUACCAUUUGAGGUCAUGCUGGAGUUGGCCUAACCCAUAAAGAAAUGACUCCAGGCGCAUGUACCUAGGCAGAACAUAAUUAAUUUGAUCCCAUGCGUCGGGCCGAACCAUCCCGCCUCUUCCUUUUCCCCAUCUUCAUGCCUAGCAAAUGACUCCUUGCCCUCAUCGCCAUGCUCCGCUGCCCGGCGCAACCAUUUCUCGCAGCGUGGCCCUGCCACGCCUCUCAAUUGUCGCCUUCAUGGACCAUCACCGCCAUCCGGCCAGGCACAAACUGCUCAAUGGUAUUUCUUCCUUUCAUAAAAUCAGAAGUACUCUUUUGUUUUGUUGAUCCUACCGGUACCAGCUCCAUUGAACCAUCACCACAGCCACACUUCGCUAGGAGGGCCCUAAGAGCAUCUCCAGCCGUUGGCCUCCUAGGUGGCUCGAAAAAUCGCCGCUUGGGGGCGAACAAGCGCUAAAAUCGGCCUAGGGGUGAUCGGGUUCCCGGCUGACACCCUCGGGGUCGGCCCCAGGCGCCUGUUUUAAACUUUUUUGAACAUUAAUUCGACUAAAAUUCGGCGAACUGAAAUAGUUUUUUACAUAGAUAAAAUACUUAGAAAAAAACACAAGAGGCCGCGACUACAUGCCAAAUAACGCGCUGAGAGACGCGAAGUCGCCGCUGUCGCCGCCGCAGCCAUUGUCCUUGUCGUCCUUCUCCUCCUUCACGCAGCCGCCUCUGCUAGACCCCUGCCCGGGGUCACCCUCGCAGACCAGUGGUGGCGCGUCGUCGUCGCUGUCGUCGUCGAGGACAACAACGCCUCCCUCAUUGCGGCCACGGCGCCGAGUGGUGAACUGCUCUAGGGCGAGGCACUGGCGCUCUAGCUCUGUUUGCGCCCAGUCUUUGUGCGCCCACUUCAAGGCUGCCUCGUCGUCAAGCCCUGGCUCCAUCUUCACGCCUGCGAGCCCUGGCUCCAUCUUCACGGCGGCGAGACCCAACUUUGUCUUCGGCUUGACGACGUGGGGAGGAGCCGAGGAGGAGGCGCGCCCGCCCUCAUUGAUGACGAUGCCGGCGCUGCGGGUGCGCCGACCGAGCGGUUUCGCCGUGGGCUCGGGCUUGACACUGAACAACGCCGAUGACCCGGAGAAGUGGGAGGAGGAGUGGGAGGAGGAAGAAGAGGAUCCGACCGUCCUCAGCAUCCAUUGGCCGCCGCUCCGGCGGGGGACCGGGGCGGCAGGGUACGUCAACGGUGGCUCGUUGCCGCCCUCGAGGUGCUGGAGGACGGCGUGGAGCGUGCGGCCGGGGGCGCCCCACCAUAGGCGGCGGCCGUCGCUGUUGUUGGUACCCCGCACCACCGACGCGUUGUUGGUGGAGGCCAGCCGCUCCGCCUGCCGACGCUGGAAGUACGCCGCCCAUGCCUCGUGGUUGCCGGUGGUGUACUGCGGGAGGGCCCGCUGCUCCUCCGUCAGCGGCGCCCGCACCUGGUCGACGUCGUCGGCGAAGUAGUCGGCGUGUGCGGUGACGUCGGGCAGCGGGGAGAUGGGGACGCCACCGGCGCUGAGCUUCCACCGCCCCGGCGCGCGCAUGUCGGGAGGCGUCGGGACAUUGGCCUCGAACAACAAGUAGGCUACCCACUCGUGCAACGAGCGGCGGCUGAAGCCAUUGGCCGCCACCCCAUCGCCGGGGAACCUCUCGCCCAUCUUCGCGGCUGGGCAUGGGGAGAGAGGGGAGGAACGUCGGCGGCGGCUACGCACGGGGAAAGAGAGGAAGAGCUCGGCGGUUGUGGGUGGGGUGCGGCCACAUGCGAGGGGAUGCGCUGCUUUAUAUAGCGGCCGGGGGUGGGUGCAGUGUGUACGCAUGGCGGCAGGCGGGGGGAGGGGGCGUCGCCACGUCGCCCGUAAGGAAUCAAUGGAAGGCUGACCAGCGGCAGCCUUGGCAUUGGUUCACCAUGGGAAACGGAGGUGGUGUGAGGACGACGAGGCGGGGGUCGCUGACUCGACGGGCCCGUAGUUUGUUCAUGCCAAUAUUGAUUGCCCUGGCGCGAGCCAGCGCACCGGGUUCGGCAUGGGUCCACCGGAGCCCGUUUCGAACCAAACCGGCAAAAACAGGCUCCUGGGGGCGCGUUUGGGCCGAUUUUUGGGCGCCGGCACUAAAAAAUCACCUGGGGGAGGCUGUUGGAGGCGCGACUGGAGAUGCUCUAACUACUUACAGGAGCACGGGCCGGCACCAGGUUACUACGGUGGCAAACUGGCAUUACUGCCCCCACCUGGUGCAUCGUAUGAAGGCCCCCUGAUCCGUAUCAGCCACACCCGCUGCCACAAGUCGACCAAACUUAGCUCAGUUUCACAAUUGUUUUUCUUCUACUAUGUGUUGCUCACUCUCACUCACUUUAAUUCCCUCUCUUAGAGGGCAUCUCCAAUGUUGACCCGUAAAUUUCUUCGGCAUCUGUCCGCGGACACUAAUGUCGGAGGCCGCCAUUCAAUGUUGCCCCAUACAUUUCAUCAACUGUUCAAACUAAUCGGACAAAAUUCAUGCAAACCGAGUAGAUUUCAUUAAAAUUCAGAAGAGAUUCAUGCAAAUAUAGCAGAUUUCACAUAAAUCGGAUGAAAUUCAUUACAUUUCAGACAUACUUCAACUAAAAGCGGAGCUCGUCCAACUCUGGAGGCAUAAUUCCGGACAAACUUCUAUUCUAAACCUAACCUAAAUGAUUGCCGGCGCCCGUUCCCAUGUCCGUCCAUGAGCCCCGAGAAUUGAAGCUCCGACACUUGCCUUUGCCUUCUCCAGUUUCGCCUCUACGCUCUCCAGCUCUGCCUCCGCAGCCUCUACCACCGCAGCUUGAGCGGCUAAUAGGCCGACGAUCAUCAGCCUGCCAAGCAUCGCUUCAGGAGAGGGGAAGAGCGGUGGCCUUCCUGGGACCCGAGCGGCGGCGACCUACCAUGCACUACUCUUUCUCGCUGCCAGCGGCACCCACGGAUGUGCUGAGGGAAUCCUGGAUUAGGGGGUAUCCGGACAGCCGGACUGUGUACAACGUCCGGACUAUUGAAGCGUGAAGAUACAAGACUCAAGACUUCGGUCUGUGUCCGGAUGGGACUCUCCUUUGCGUGGAAGGCAAGCUUGGCGAUCCGGAUAUUGUGUUUCCUUUCUUGUAACCGAGUCCAUGUAAACCCUAGCCCUCUCCGGUGUCUAUAUAAAUCGGAGAGGUUGGUCCUUAGAAGGCUGAUCACAAUUACAAUCAUACCAUCAUAGGCUAGCUCCUAGGGUUUAGCCUCUACGAUCUCGUGGUAGAUCUACUCUUGUACUACCCUUAUAUUCAAUAUUAAUCAAGCAGGAAGUAGGGUUUUACCUCCAUCAAGAGGGCCCGAACCUGGGUAAACAUCUGUGUCCCUUGCUUCCUGUUACCAUCGGCCUUGACGCACAGAUCGGGACCCCCUACCCGAGAUCCGCCGGUUUUGACACCGACAUUGGUGCUUUCAUUGAGAGUUCCUCUGUGACGUCGCCGCAAGGCUCGAUGGCUCCUCCAAUCAUCGUCAGCAACACGGUCCGGGGUGAGACUUUCCUCCCCGGACAGAUCUUCGUGUUCGGUGGCUUCGCACUGCGGGCCAAUUCGCUUGGCCAUCUGGAGCAGAUCGACAGCUACGCCCCUGGCCACCAAAUCAGGUUCGGAAACCUGAACUACACAGCGGAUAUCCGCGGAGACUUGAUCUCCGACGGAUUCGGGCCCGCGCCAGGAGCACCGGACAGUCACGGCAAGCGUGGCCUGGACCUGCUGUCGGACAACGCUCGGGAUAUCACCCCUGCAGUAGCCCUAGACUCAAAUCCGAAGCAGGCUGCGUUGCCUAGGGACGGAGGGAUGGACCCCGCCCCGCAAGCCGUACCCUCAUCGGCGGUGGAGCCGAACACAGGCCUCGCUUCUGAGGAUGCCUGUGACUCCAGAUCCCCGGAUUCAUAUCUGGUUGUAGGAUCCAGUCCGCGCGUUCCCGUGCCCGCGGAACCUGGUUGGGAUCCGGUAAUGGAGUUCACCGCUGCGGACAUCUUUCAGCACUCGCCCUUUUGCGACAUGCUGAACUCAUUAAAGUCUCUCUCUUUGUCACGAGGUUUUCGGCCGAACUAUGUCCGGCUCUAGUGGGAAGCAGGCGACGACGAGAUUCGCUGCCCACCCACCACCCACUUCAUAGCCACGGUUGAUGAUUUAACCGACGCGCUUGGCUUCGACUCUGAAGCCAUCGACGGUAUGGACGACGAUUUGGGAGAAGAUUCAGAACCUAUGGGGCGCCGGACUUCCGCCUCAUCACACGAUAUAUACAUGGUGGAUACACCCAAGGAGGACGACGGUGACAACCCAGAAGAUAAAACCCCCGAGCAAAAGCCAAAGCGACGGCGCAGACGCCGUUCCAAGUCCAGCAACAGUAAAAAUACCAGCAAGAGCGCCAGAAGGAUCGAUACUCCGGUCAACCCCGAAGGCAACAACGACCAUACGGAACCAGCGAUGGAGCAGGACGAACCAGGUCACGCAAACACAGUUCGGAGCAGACGCCCGAAGACAAUGAUCCAGAGGGACGAGUUCAUCAAACCGGCCCAGGACAAGAAGACAGUCCGGAUGAUGACGCAUUCAUCAUUCCGGAAGAAUGCGUGGAAUGAGAUAACCUCCACAGAAAGUUUAUGGCCACAGCGAGAAGUAUGAAGAAGCAGAAGCAACGACUUAAAGCCGCACAGGAAACACUCAAUCGCAGAUGGAACAAAGUGCUUGACACUGAAGAAAGAUAUGGCGACGAUCGCCAUACAAAGAGCUACCCAAAACGCAAGAUACUGCCAGAAUUCGAUGACGAGGCCGUUCCACCAAAGAGUAACAUGACCAGGAGACCAGACGCACCACUCCAUAACCGCAACAAAGUAGCUACAGAUGCCGCACACGACCUACGUGAGCACCUAGAUAGGAAAGCUGGCGUAGCUAGGUCCAUCUACGGAUCUAAAGGACACACCCUGGCGAGGGACUAUGGUCACCACAACGAUUACACCAACCAAAUACUAGUUCGGAAUAAACACCGAACACAACAACAGCUGACGGCAUGCCACAAUACGUCCAGAUACAGAGGGGCUGCUCACCCCCUGUGCUUUACUGAUGAAGUACUGGACCACGAAUUUCCACAGGGCUUUAAACCUGUGAACAUAGAGGCAUACGGCGGAACGACAGACCCAGGGGUAUGGAUAGAGGACUUUAUCCUACAUAUACAUAUGGCUCGCGGGGAUGACCUCCACGCCAUCAAAUAUCUUCCCCUCAAACUAAAGGGACCAGCUAGACGCUGGUUGAAAAGCCUCCCCGAAAAUUCAAUUGGGAGUUGGGAAGAACUCGAAGACGCCUUCAGGGCCAAUUUUCAAGGGACUUUUGUCCGGCCUCUGGAUGCUGACGAUUUAAGUCACAUAGUCCAAAAGCCCCCAACACAUCCAAAAUAAGGGAUGGCAACGGGAAGCCACAACGUAAUAAAAAUAAAUGCGAAAACAAGGAAGAGAGCCCGAAUAACACAACAGUUAAUGCCGGAUUCAGGGGCUCUCGACCUAAUCAGCAAAAUAAGCCAUCUAAAGGCAGUAAAGAGGGACCGUCCGGACUGAAUAGAGUCCUAGACAGAUUGUGCCAAAUCCAUGGCACCCCUGACAAGCCUACAAACCACACGCAUAGAGAGUGCUGGGUCUUCAAGCAAGUCGGCAAAUUGAAUGCCAAACACAAGGGAAGGGAAACACCAAGUGAGGACGAGGAUGAACCUCGCCAGCCGAACACUGCGGGACAGAAAAAAUUCCCGCCAGAGGUUAAAACAGUAAACAUGAUCCACGCAACUCAUACAUCCAUGAGAUGGCACGAACGCGCGCAUAGAGACGCGCAUGAUAUAGAUCCCAUCAUACCCACACCUAACUACUGGAUGUCUUAUCCGAUCACUUUCGGUCACUUGGAUGGCCGGACUAGUAUUCGGCGCGGUGGAUCAGAGGCCUUGGUGCUUGACCCAAUGAUCGACGGAUACCGUCUCACCCGGGUCCUCAUGGACGGCGGCAGUAGUCUCAAUUUAAUAUACGAGGACACUGUCCGCAGGAUGGGGAUAAACCCAUCCAGAAUCAGCCAAAGCAACACCACCUUUGAAGGGGUGAUACCAGGCGUCGAAGCCUACAACAGGGGCUCCGUCAUACUAGAGGUAACAUUCGGCUCUCCAGGCAACUCCAGAAGCGAAGAACUACUCUUCAUCAUCGCACCCUUCCAAAGCGACUAUCACGCAGUGCUCGGAAGAACGACCUUCACCCGCUUCAACGCAUUGCCGCACUAUUGCUACCUUACAGUUAAGAUGCCCGGUCCACGUGGCGUCAUCACCGUCAGCGGAAUAAUAGAGCGCUCGUCAUGCGCAGAGGAACACGCGACGGACCUCGCGGCUGGACUAUAAGCGACCUCCAACAUAAAAAAAA